UAGCGCUUGGACCGUAAGGGGCCCCUCCGGAGUCUGCACACCCACAGUGAGCGCAGGUACCCAUGUGAUUUGAAACAGUGGUAACAAUGACACUGUAUGAUGCAAUUGGGUCAGGUAACAAUGGCUGACCAUUAUGCUGAGUGAUUGUGAGGUAGUCUAAUGGGGCUGAUACUGUACUGAGAGUGAGCCCGAGGGGCUGAUACUAUGCCGAGCGAUUGAUACUGUGCCCGAGGGGCGGAUUUUUUUUUUACUUGUUAUUUACCUGUUAAAUCACCUGUUUUACUUGUUUUCAAAAGGAAUACCAUUUGAUUUCUUCACUGACUUGCUACUUUAAGUGAUUUUUACUGCUCGAUAUGGAAUUGCUUUGUGCCUUUAUGUAUUUUCAUACUUUCAGCCAUUAUUUGUAAUUAUUACUCACUGAGUCGGAGUACUCACAUUACUCCCUGCACCAUGUGUGCAGAUUCAGGCAUCGCAGAGUCCAUUCCUGAGCGAUGAUUCCUUCCAGGCUAGGCAGUGAUUUGGAGUUACGAGGUAGUUGUUGACGUCCGCAGCCCCUUGUCUCUCUUAUCCUCUAUCAUUUAUGUUUCCUUCAGACUGUUGUAUCAGAUUUCGUACUUUGUAGACCUAUAGCAGAUUCUGUAGUAGCUCAUGACUUGUGACACCCCUGUUUGGGCUGUGUCGGGAUGGUUUCUACCGCUAUUUUCGUUAAAUUCCGCAAUUUAUGAAGAUUAUAAUAUAUGUUAUUACUGUUUAUGAAACUUAACUGUUUACAAAAGGUGUUUUGUUUGGUCUGGCUGGCCUUGUCUUCGCGAGA
This 814-nucleotide long non-coding RNA is filed under the name Nicotiana tabacum (common tobacco). RNAcentral describes it as "long non-coding RNA (NTAB_LNC000800)". Lineage: Eukaryota; Viridiplantae; Streptophyta; Magnoliopsida; Solanales; Solanaceae. The record is from RNAcentral.